UUUACAUUUAUAACCACAAUAUAAAAAUCGUAAAUGUUUUUUUUUCGUUAUCAUGCUUAUAGUAAACACAUUCUAAAAUUUAUAUUAUAGAGUCUUAUCUACACUGCCUUUAUUUUAUUUCCUUUUAUAAUACUAAUUUAAAUACUAUUUCAAAACCAUCUUCCAAUUUCAUUUAGUAAAUUUACUUUGGCAUGAAUACUAAGUUAUUAGCUUUGAUCAAAGUAGCCAGUAACAAAAGCUCCAUCCUAACGGUUAUUCCACUCAAUGUUAAAGCUUAUUGUAAUUUUUGUAUUCCUUUUUAGAAUGCCAUUAUAUUUAAUUAUCUUAAGCUCUCUACAUUUCCAUUUAGUAACGCUACUUUGGCCAAACUACUAGGUUAUUAACUUUGAACCCAAUAGAGGGUAACGAAAGCUUCGUCGUAACGACUAUUGCGUGCGUAGCAGCUAGCUUUUGACCGCCAGCAGAUGUGCUUGCAAUUUGCAACUGUCAAGUCAACCGACACGUUAAGCUGCGCCUAAAAGUUUAAAAUGCAACCGCAACGGAAGAAUAAUGAUGAUGAAUGCUAAAAUGCUAAAGUACGCAAAUAUCUCUCUUCACCCUGAUUUCCCCUUUUCACGCGGCAAAAAACGCACGCAGGCACAUUUCACUGUCAAAAAUGCGGCUAUAAACCAUUUUGGAGCCGCCAGGAGCUGCUGUCGCAAUCAUUUAUUUUUAUUUUCAUUUCGCUUGCCACUUAUGUUGGCCCGCAUUUGGCCAUUUCUCAAGUCUUUCGGCCCGCUCGAGGCCAGACAUUCGAGAUGGCAAGAUGAGUAGACGGCAAGACGGUCCUGACUUUGACGAACAGCAGCACGCAAAAUGCAGCACCAUCGCACCACAUUAUGGCCAUGGUGGUUAGCAUUAAGUUAAAGUUAGGCUUAAUGGCAAGCUGCUCGCAGCACCGAAAAAAAUGGUCAUAAUUUUGGAACUGAUAAAAUCAACAUUAAUAUGUACAUGUGUACAUAUUUAGAUAAUUUUAUAAACUUGUUGCAAGAUCAGUGUUGCACAUAAAAACUAAUUUAAUAAAAAGCAGCGAGUAACGAGUAUAAUAUAAUCAUCAUUAUCUAUAAUUGUAUGUAUUCUUAA
Drosophila simulans is the source of this 1122-nucleotide long non-coding RNA. RefSeq lists it as uncharacterized. The transcript is spliced from 2 exons. Lineage: Eukaryota; Metazoa; Arthropoda; Insecta; Diptera; Drosophilidae. The record is from RefSeq and is a predicted model, not a curated record.